RNAcentral lists this long non-coding RNA (369 nucleotides) under Carica papaya (papaya). RNAcentral describes it as "long non-coding RNA (CPAP_LNC008153)". Lineage: Eukaryota; Viridiplantae; Streptophyta; Magnoliopsida; Brassicales; Caricaceae. The record is from RNAcentral.
AUAAAUUUUUCACAUCACUCUGAACCUGAACCCUAGCUGCCAGCCUCUUGCUGGAGAAGAAGAACCAGUUGCCGGAGAAAAGAGCUUACUGCCGCCACACAGGAGCCACCUACGACCGUCAAAAAAGGUAAAAAUUUUCUUACUCGCUCGGAAUUCAAUUUCGAGCACUCCUGUGGCCAUAUCAUAGCAAAACAAAUGGCGAGUGAGCCGAAAAUUACGGGCAAAGCUCGGCAGAGCCACUGUGGGCAAAACUCACAACCGCCUUUGAUGAGCCCCUUCCUGUUUUCCGUUCCGUACGAUUUUUUCACUAUUGUGUUCACUAUUCUACUUUCUACCGAUUGACCAAAGAAAAACUCUCAGCCGUAAAGG